CCGACUUCUGCAAGGCACAUGGUGGUGGAAAGAGGUGCAACUGGGGCGGUGGAAAAUGUGAAAAGUUUGCAAGAGGAAAGAGUGGGUUAUGUGCUGCACAUAGCAGCCUGGUUCGAGGACGUGCAAUGAACGAAGGAGGAAUGCUUGGUGCUCGACUCUUCCACGGAUUGGUGCCAGCUGCUUCUACUGCUAGGAGCAGCUUUGACAACACUUGUUCUUCAUCCGGAGUUAGUGUGAUCUCGGAUUCUCCCGAUUCACUUGAACAACCAGCAAAAAGGGCACAUCUCAUACCUCCUCAGGUAUUGGUUCCUUUGUCGAUGAAGGCCUCAUUAUGUCCCGAGAAGCAAGUGGAAACGAGCAAUGCCGGCAACUUUGACAAUACCAGUGAUGGAAAGAGCUUGGAUUAUGUGGUUCCGGAGGGAAGGGUGCAUGGUGGUGGACUCAUGUCCUUGCUUGGGGGGAACCUGAGGAAUGCUAUGGAUGGGGAUUUGAAUUGGUUUUAGAAAAAUCUUCAACUUGUAAUUUAUGUGUUAGUAUUUUGAAUAAUUUACUGUUGUAACUGUGCAUUUAAUGCUUGAAAUUUGUCAAGUGAUACCAUGUAAUUUGGUAUUGUAUGUUGUUAAUAGGAUUUUUAUUCCCAUGUACUUUGAUUAUUGGGUAUUUUGUAAUUAUACAGCUUAUCAGGUAAAGGUUCGCAUUCAUGAAGUUAGGCUAAUUUUAAAAAUGUUAGUCAAAAUCUAUUAAUAUAACUAGUAAACUCUGAGCUGGUUCAUUCAAGUAGAGUUUAGAUCUAAAGUUGAAGUCUCCAUAAAGUUGAAUGAUACCCCUAUAAAUAAGAAGAGUAAUGAAGUUUAUCUCUAUUAGUAUUCAACAUCAGUUUAGAUGUCAAUGGAUCUGACCUAAAGAAUUAAUGCAACAUGUACAGAGUGGCAAUCAUCUCCAUUUGAUAUAGUAGGUGGCGUGAGGUAAAAUGAUAAGGCCAGUUCAGUGUAUGAAUAUGAAAUUCAUUUAUUGACCUUAUCAUUUAAUGUCAUCUCACAUUGAGGAUAACCUUAGUUUAUACGUAAUUUCUAAGGUCAUAUCAUUUCUGGAGAGGAUUUUGCUGUAAAUCUAUUUGAAAUAAAGAGCAAGACUCUGUGGCCAUUCCUCUUUAUUUAUCGACCACUUGAAACUAAAUAUUUUUAACUACUUGACAUCAACUCUAUCAAGAAGCUACGAAACUUCUCGAUGCAUUAUUCGAACUGACAAGCACCUGUCACUCAUGAUAUUCGAUCCUACUGAUGCUUAACACCUGUCUACGUAGUAUUGAGAUCAUUUUAUCGAACAAUGUAACAAUAAUUUCACAAAUUGACUAGGAUUAUGAUUAUUCUUUAAAUGAUAGAGCAUUUUUCUUCAUUUAUAAAAAGUUACUUUACUUUUCUCAAGUUUAUCACUUCCUUCUGUUAUUGUGCGGGUUUCAAAUACAGUUAUGGCGCCUUUUGCAUGUACUCACAUGCAUAAUCUGUUGGAAAAUAAGGGGUUGGAGAAGAAACAACAACAAAAUUAUAGAAACAAAAUGAAUAGAAAUCACGAAACACAUCAAGAAUGAAUUUGAGGUUUGAACACGGGAUCGUUGUCCUCAAACUAUAUUUGUCCCCUCUCCAUAUGAAAUGAGAUGCUUAAGGGUGUUAUGGCAAAUGGUUUGAAAGAUUUUAACAAGCUUUGAUGCAGAAAAUAACAAAGCACGAGAAAUUUUCCGUCAAAACUUGAUGAACACAAUAAAGAAGAAAUGAAUAUGAGUUAUAACAGGGAUUUAAUUAAUUGUGGAACAAUAUAUGGAUUUCAAGAUGUUUUUCUUGUUUGUAAUGUAUUUGUAUUGAUCUUCAUCACCUAUUUAUAGGCCUCAAUCAAUACAUCACGAAAUGGUGCCAAAACAAGAUGAAAAGUGGCAACUUUUAAUCCAAAACGACUCCCAAGUUUCAAAUUGAAAAACUAGCCAAUGGCUAUUUUUUAACACUAUGCGUACGCAUAAUAUAAACCGUGCGUAUGCAUAGUAGAAGCAAAAUUUAAUUCUGAUUUUGCCAAAACACAUCUGUGUACGCAUAAAAAGAAGCCUGUGCGUAUGCAUAGGCAAAAAAUCAAAAUUUUCAUUUUUCAAUUUCUUUUGAUUCUAGUCCAUUAUCAUUCCAUUGAUUUCGAACAAAUAUUCAACAAUCCCCCACUUGUUAAAAAUCAAUACGAUCACAUAUUCAAAAAGAUGACACUUAUGCAUACGGAUUAGAUAUCUUUCGAUUUGAAUCUAACCAUAGUGUAAUUCAAACAAAGUAAAGUCGGAAUUAGAGGUAGCAUAGAAGUUUUGAACCAAUUAUUCCUUGUGACAAUACCGAUAAGAACACACACAUAAGUAUCACGUGUUCUCAAGUUCCUCAACUCGCUUAGCGCUAUUAUGGUCUUGCGCUCAUCCUCUUCGACAAACUUUUAAGAGAGAAACUCCAACUCUCUAUUGAAGCGGCACCACCUCGAAGUUAGUUUAGGUGAAGUUCUUCCAGUACCUUUGUUACUUUUAGAAGUACUUGUGUUUUAACACUGAACUUCAUUAAGAACUUUAAGCUCAACCCUCACUUCAGUAACAACCAGCAUUAUUUAAUUAGGAUAGGGUCAUUGCGGAUUUGAAUAAUGCUGCAGCCAUCUACAUAUCGAAUGACUUGUUGUUACCCUUUGAACUCGUUGAUUACUUUUUGAGUAAUGACAGGUAGGGUUGCCGUCAUUGGUGGACCUUUUUAGUUAAGAAGUUUCAACCCCAUCCUACUCGAAGUAGACGCCACUAAAUCUCUAUUUAGUGCUUUAGUUAAAGGAUUCGCUAAAUUCUCAAUUGACCUUACAUAAUUUAGGGAAAUUAUUCCAUCUUUGAUUAAUUUCCUUAUGUAGUCAUGUCUUAGAUUCAUAUGUCUAAACUUUCCAUUGUAUACCUCGUUAUAUGCCUUUGCUAACGUGGCUUGACUAUCACACAUGAUAGGUAUUGAAGAGAUAUUCUUCGAUCCCAAAGGUAUCUCAUAUAAGAGAUCCUUAAGUCAUUCAACCUCUUUCCUGGUAUCCGAUAAAGCUACAAAUUCAUAUUCUAUGGUCGAGUGUGUUAUACAUGUUUGUUUCUUUGAUUUCCAAGAAACAGCACCUCCUCCAAGAGUGAAUACCCAUCCCGAAGUGGAUUUACUUUCACCCAUGCUAGAUAUCCAACUAGUAUCGAUAAAUCCUUCCAAUAUCGUCGGGAAUUUAGUAUAUUGUAGGCCCAAGUUCUUGGUUUUCUUUAAGUAUCCAAGAACUCUCACAAUGGCCUUCCAAUGAUCAUUACUCGGAUUGCUAGUAAACCUAUUAAGUUUACUUAUUGCAUAAGCUAUAUCCGAUCUUGUGCAUUGAACAACAUACAUAAGACUUCCUAUAGCACUUGCAUAUUCAUAUUGAGUAAUCGCCCUUCCAUCAUUCUUUAUUAGUUUUGAACUUGGAUCAAUCGGGGUACUACAUUCCUUUAUGUUCAAAUAUUUGAACUUAUUUAUCACAUUUUCAAUAUAAUGUGAUUGACUUAGAUAGUAACCUCCACUAGUCUUUGUGACUUUGAUACCUAAAAUGGUAUCCACUUGUCCAAGAUCCUUCAUCUUGAAUGUGGAAGAAAGAAACUUCUUUGUUUCUUCUAUUCCGUCCAUGUGAUUACUCAUAAUCAGUAUAUCGUCAACAUACAAGCAUAUAAAUGUCACAUAAUCAUCACAAACUUUAGAAUAUAAACAUUUAUCAACACUAUUAUAUUUAAAUCCGAAUGAUAUUAUUGCUAAGUCAAACUUCUCAUGCCAUUUCUUUGGUACUUGCUUCAGACCAUAUAAAGAUUUUACCAACUUGCACACUUUAUGUUUAUUUCCAGGUAGGGCAAACCCUUCGGGUUGUUCCAUAUAGACCUCCUCAUCGAGAUCUCCAUUUAUGAAUGCCGUCUUGAAAUCCAUUUGAUGAACAUGCAAGUCAUAUAUUGAAGUCAAAGCGAAUAAUAUCCUAAUCGAUGUUAUUCUAGCUACCGUGCAUAAGUAUCAAAAUAGUCGAUUCCUUCCUUUUGUCGAUAUCCUUUGGCUACUAAUCUAGCCUUGAAGGUAUUUAAGGAUCCAUCAACAUUGCAUUUUCUCCUAAAUACCCAUUUGCAUCCAAUAGGCUUGGAUCCCGGUGGUAAAUCAACAAGUUUCCAAGUAUUAUUGGACAUUAUCGAAUCCAUUUCGUCCUUAAUUGUAUCUUUCCAAAAGGUGCUAUCACGAGAAGCCAUAACUUCUUUAUAAGUGUUAGGGUCGGUUUCUAUUUAUAAAAAAAAAAAGAAUUGUUCUCACAACAUUCAACUCAUUUCCCUCUAUUAAGUAAAAUGAGAUAAGUUGAUAAUCGAUUUCAUUCGAUCCCAAAGACUUCUUCACUCGAAUUCUCUUGCUUCUUCGUGGUUCACUAGAUUCAUCAACAUUCUUAAAAGAUAUUUCAUCACGUGUUCCACUUGAACUAGGGAUAUUUUCUAGAUUUUUCCUCAAUUCAUUAUCCGAAGAUAAUGAAUCCUCAAAGAACUCCACAUCGUUAGAUUCAAUAAUCACAUUGGACUCCAAAUUUAGUAAUCUAUAAGAUUUGCUAUUGUUUGCAUAUACAACAAAGGCACAUUUAAUACUUCUUGGACCCAAUUUGGUCAUAUUAGGAUUCGUGUUCUUGCAAUAGGCAAGACACCCCUGCACUUUAAAGUAUUCAAUGUUCGAUUUUCUUCCUUUUCACAAUUCAUAAGGAGAAACCUAAGUAUAUUUUGAAGAAAUCCUAUUAAGUAUUCGACAUGCACUUAAUAAAGCUUCACCCCACAAGUUAAAUGACAACUUAGCAUGAAUAAGCAUGACAUUUAUCAUUUUUACAAAUGUUCUAUUUUUUCUUUCAGCCAAGCCAUUUUGUUCGGGGUGUCCUAGGUGCAAAACAUUGAUGAAUAAUUCCAUGUUGUUCACAAAACAAAUUAAAAUCAUUGGAAAAGUAUUCACUACAUCUAUCACUCCUUAAAAUUUUAAUUUUCUUUCCUAGAUAAUUUUCAACCUCAUUCUUGUAUGUCUUAAACAUGUCAAAUGUUUCACUUUUAUGUUUUAUCAAAUAAACAUAUGUAUAUCUAGAAAAGUCAUUUAUAAAAGUUAUGAAAUAUUUAUUUCCACCUCUAGUUAAAAUACCAUUAAGUUCACAUAUAUCAGUAUGAAUUAAUUCUAAAAUACUAGAGGUUCUCUUAACACUUUGAUAUGAUUUUUUUUAAUUAUUUUAGAUUCUACACAUAUUUUGCAUUUAUGUUCAUCAUUUUCAUCAUAUGAGAUCAAGUUAUAUUUUUCAUACGUUUCAUUGUAUUUCUAUCAACAUGACAUAAUCUAGCAUGUCAUAAUGAAAAUAAAUUCACAACACAGCAAAAUUACUUUUAUUCAUUUCAUUAUCAACGGUACAUAAUUUGACCAUUUCUUCACACGAAUAGCCUUUUCCAACAAAUUUCCCAUUAAGGGAUAGUACAAGUUUGUCGGACUCAUAAACACAUUUGAUGCCCGAUUUUUCCAAGAGAUUGUCACUAACUAGGUUCCUAUUCAUAUCCGGAACAUGUAGUACAUUAGUUAGAGUAACAGUUUUCCCAGAAGUGAAGAUAAUGUCUACACUUCCUUUUCCAAACACCUUAGAUCACAUUUCGUUACCCAUUUGAAUCUCUUGUUCUCUAUCCACUUCUUGAUAAUUUUUGAACAAAGAUUUAUCAUAUGAUAUAUGUACCGUAGUACAAGUAUCAUGCCACCACCCGAGAACAUUUUCUUUGAUUGUGUUUACUUCACUUAUGGUAGCCACAAUUUUGUCAUCUUGGAUGAAAUUCACUUUGGCCUCGAAGUUGUUUUGUUUUCGGUGCCUACAAUCCUUGGCAUAGUGAUCAGAUUUUCCAUACACAAAACAACAUUUUUUUUGUCUUCUUCUUGGACUUGUUAAAGUUCUUAGAAGGCUUCCUUUUGUUGGAUUUUGUCGGUGGUUCUAUUUUUUUCACAGCAUUUGCUUUAGAAGAGCCCUCAUGAGAAUUUUCAGUUUUAUCACGUAUUCUCGACUCCUCUUCGAUUCGAAGAUACUUUUGUAAUUGUUCCAAAGAAUAAUUUUCGAAACUAUGCAUGAUCUUCUUCCGGUAUCCUUUCCAAGUUUUGGGAAGUUUGGUAGUUAUAGCCCCCACUUGAAAAAUUUCCGGUAUAUCAAUUUUUACCGCCUUUAAUUUGUUGACAAUCACUUGCAACUCAUGCACUUGGGGAAGAAGAUGGAUAUUUUCUAAAAAUUUAAAAUCAAAAUACUUAGAAAUCAAAAAUUUCUUUGUACAUUCUUCUUCCGCCUUGUACUUACUUUCCAAUGCUUCCCAGAUUUCUUUCGCCGAAAUUGUAUUGGUGUAUAGAUCAUACAAACGAUCCGACAAUGCAUUCAAGAUGUGGCCACGACAAAUCAAUUCAUCUUCUUGGCAUUUUUGUCUCUCGAUCUUGAUUGCUUCGAAUUCUCCAUUCGUUGAUUCCAGCAAAGGCGCUAAAUCUGAAUCAAGAAUAUAAAAAAUCUUCAACGCCGUUAGGAGGAAUUUCAACUUGUCUUGCCACCGCGUGAAGUUAGUCCCGUCAAAACGAUCCAAUCUUACCAGAUCUUGAUUCAUGAGUUUGAUGGCUGUCAUAGUUGUAUCAUUUUCCAUCGCAGGUUAUAGUUUGAGAUUGUUGGAAAAUAAGGGGUUGGAGAAGAAACAACAACAAAAUUAUAGAAACAAAAUGAAUAGAAAUCACGAAAUACGUCAAGAAUGAAUUUGAGGCUUGAACACGGGAUCGUUUUCCUCAAACUAUAUUUGCCCCCUCUCCAUAUGAAAUGAGAUGCUUAAGGGUGUUAUGGCAAAUGGUUUGAAAGAUUUUAACAAGCCUUGAUGCAGAAAAUAACAAAGCAUAAGAAAUUUUCCGCCAAAACUUGAUGAACACAAUAAAGAAGAAAUGAAUAUGAGUUAUAACAGGGAUUUGAUUAAUUUGUGGAACAAUAUAUGAAUUUCAAGAUGUUUUUCUUGUUUGUAAUGUAUUUGUAUUGAUCAUUCAUCACCUAUUUAUAGGCCUCAAUCAAUACAUCACAAAAUGGUGCCAAAACAAGAUGAAAAGUGACAACUUUUAAUCCAAAACGGCUCCCAAAUUUCAAAUUGAAAAACUAGCCAAUGGCUAUUUUUUAACACUAUGCGUACUCAUAAUAUAAACCGUGCGUACGCAUAGUAGAAGCAAAAUUUAAUUAUGAUUUUGUCAAAACACAUCUCGUGUACGCACAAAAAUAAGCCCGUGCGUAUACAUAGACAAAAAAUCAAAAUUUUCAUUUUUCAAUUUCUUUUGAUUCUACCCAUUCCAUAAUUGAGCCCAACAAUUAGUCCAUUAUCAUUCUAUUGAUUUUGAACAAAUAUUCUACAUAAUCUGUUGAAGAAACAUCGGGUUCGAAUUUCUUCAAUGUAACUUGAUGUCGCAAUUCAUGCAAAAUUUCUGAAUUUCCGAUACAAUUUUGAUUAUGCUAACUAAAAACAAGUUCAAUUUAUUUCUCUUGAAACAGUACAAAGCAACCUCCAUGGAAAACCUUCAAAGUUCCUCGAAAGCUUCAAAGCACAAGUCCUUGAACUACAACGAUUCAUCAAUCAAUAUAAAAUAUUUUAUUGGCCGUCUUGCGAUUAACUGCAAUCUUCGAUUCGUACGCUUCCGAUGUCUCACACUCUCCAUCACCGUCGAAGUAUCUCAAUUCAACCUCGUUGGUGAUGGCCUUUAGUAAGUACUUAUUGCCACUGGCGACGAUUGCGAAUCUGGACUCACCAUCGGUGAAGCUCGAGAAGGAUGUGCUGAUGAUGGAUGAAAGUUCGGUAUGGAAGUUUAAUAAAGGUUGCGGAGUUGUCGAAUUAGGGUUAGGUCACUGCUGAUAUCAUUAGAAUUCAACAGCGGCAGGGGAAUUACGAGUAUCACUGAUAGUUGCUUUGACUACAGAACUGAAACAUGUAUGUUUUGGAAGGAUUCUAUCACGGUCGAACCUUUAACAACGGUAGCUCCUCACCGUGACGUAGCUGCAGCUUAGAAAAUGAAGAUUUUCAACUGAAAUCAGCUGACUUAGUAACCAAUAAAAGAUAAAAGAGAAUGGGGGAAAGGAUUAAAUGACGUAAAAUAAGAAGAAAGGGAAGACAAAGCUAUUGAACGAUUUCAAAAUUGCCUCGAAAAUAUCAGAUUAUACAGAACUCAUCUUCCCCAUUCCCAAGCUUCAAUACAACCCUAUAUACAAUAAAACAACAAUUGGGCUUGGGCUAGCCCACCAUACAAGCCCAAAUAAAAAAUAAAAUAAAAUUGGCAUAAUCCAUGACAUCCCUUCCCUUUAAUUUAACCUUGUCCUCAAGGUUUAACAUCAGAAUGUCUUUUUUGUAUGUUGUUAGCAACGGUCUCGUUCUCUUCACCAUUCUUGGAUUAAGCAGGUAGUGUAAGAUGAAGAAAACCUUAUCCUCAAGCUGACUUCUAGGGAAAAAGGCUCUUAACAAAACGAAUGGCCUGUCUUUUCCAUCUUCUCGCUUAGUCGGCCCACCUGAUGUAGCCAUGUGAAUGUAGUAAUCAUAUGCAUUAUGCAACUUUCUGUGCUUAACAUCAUCAUGAUGUAAAGCAUCUCUGGGCAUCGAGACCUCUUGACCAUUGAAGACAGAAGGUUCGUUCAUGCCAUUCCAGAUGUACAAGGAUGGAGAUAUACGAGAAAUUUUCAGCCCACCAAGACCUAAUCUUUGGAUUCAACACAUUCAAGUAUGAUGAUGAACCAGACCAGCACCACCCAUUGAAAUCCUUCCCAGUUGCAUCCUUUACAUAAUAUACCUUUUGGGAAGUCUUCUUGUGUAUAUCGUAAGGUUCGUCCCUCUUAAUGUGAGGGUCCACGAUAGUGACCAUAUGCCUGCCGUUUUCAACCAACUUUUUCUGCAUCUCUUCUGGAUUAGGAAAUAGCAGCCUAUCCCACGUAAAAUAAUUUUUCCCAUCCAUAUGCUCAAUAUCAAGCCACCAAAAAAAAAGGGAUAUCAUGCUCAUCAAAUUUGGCGUCUAGAUUAUAAACAUCCUCUUCACCGCUAUAAUUCCACCUACACUGAUGGUAAGAAAUAGCAAAUAACUGUGGCAUUGCCAGUGUUCCAGUAACACUUGUAUACUGCAUAACCAUAUUUUUUGGCUCCGGACUAACAAAAAAGAAUGCAUCCAACACACGAGCUUCUUUCAUCCACAAUGUAUUGACCCUCUUUUGAUCUGAAGGCAACAUCAAAACAGAAGUAUAUUCAUCAUUCCAACUUGUCCCCAGAACAUCAAUUUGCAUUUCAGCAGCAUUCAGCCAGAAAAACCCAGAGCUCCCAUGUGACUUCCCAUGGGAAAUCAUGAAAGGUAUGGAACCAUAAAGCCCAGAAGGCGAGUCAGCAAUAUAUUCAAACACAUCAAGGUUAAAAAGCCGAUAUGGCUCAGAAUCCUCCACCCCAAGUCCUCUAGUUGGCUUUAAGGCUAAACUAGUGGCAUGUUCUGGAAUGCCAUAAACAAAAUCGGCAUCAUAGAAUGAUACGUCAAAGCUAAUACUCUAUGGUCCAUACAGACGUGUAUGAGUGUGGCUCCUAAACCUCUCCUCCAAAUUCUCAACUUCAUUUCUUCAUCCUUCUCAACACCUAAAUCAGAUUCUAGCUUCUCAAAACUAGUCUCCACAACAGUUUCUAUUUCAACAUGCCUUGUAACUACAACAACUGAAUCAUCUUCGUUCAAUUCAUAAGUAUUGACCUGCUUUACUAGUUUCUCUUCUGGUUUAGAACAGGAACCCCAUUUCCCUUCCAAUUUAGAAUCUGAAUCAUCCAUUUGUGCUUCAGAAGACUUGACUAUUUUUGUGUACUUGUUGGACUGAUCUUUGGAGGCUGAUUGAGCCUCAAAAAUUUCAGUCAUCAUUGAGAUCACUAGCUCAUGCUUCCUAUUAAUUUCUUCCAUUAUACAAUCCAAUUGAGAGAUACCUAUGGGUUGAAGCUGCUCUGAUACCAUUUGUCACAGUUGAACCUUCAAUAAUGGCAGCUCCUCACCGUGACGUAGCUGCAGCUCAGAAAAUGAAGAUUUUCAACUGAAAUCAGCUGACUUAGUAACAAUAAAAGAUAAAAGGGAAUGGAGAAGGAUUAAAUGACGUAAAAUAAGAAGAAAUGGAAGAGAAAGCUGUUGAACGAUUUCACAAUUGCCCUGAAAAUAUCAAAUUACACAAAACUCAUCGUCCCCAUUCCCAAGCUUCAAGAUAACCCUAUAUACAAUAAAACAACAAUUGGGCUUGGGCUAGCCCACCACACAAGCCCAAAGAUAAAAUAAAACAAAAUUGGCAUAAUCCAUGACGGAUUCCGGUAUAUGCCGUUUUGGUUCCAAAUGCCAGGUCAAUUUUCUUCCCUCUCAUCAUGAAGUAUCAUCAUCAAAAGGUUUAUAUGUAUUUAGAAGAUCAAUGUACGGCACAGACUAAUGUCUUGUUUCUUCAUUGUUUUGUUGAGUAAUUAAACAUUAAUGUGCAUUAAUUGUAGUACCAUUUGGUUGAAUGAAGAAUAUACUAUUUUGAUCUGUGCUCACCAUAGUCUAAUUGUAAUGUAAUUCCACUUAUUUCAAGUUGAACAGUUUGCUCAUGAGAAAGAAGAGCUCCAUCCUGUUCAUUUCUCAGGCAAGAAUAAAUUUAAGGUAGUAAUGAAAUUGAGAAUCUUUUUCUUGAUCAAUCCUCUAACAUAAAUCAACUGAACUAAAAAUUGGUGACUUUAUAUAUGAUUUCUUGUAACAUGCUUUGUGGGUUCUGCAAUUUUGUAGGCACCAUGUAGCAAAUCAUCCAAUGGUUCAGGUGGAUCGGGAUCAUCAUCAUAUGGCUCAAAGUGCCACUUUGUUCAUCACCAAGUCAAAGCAGAAGCAAAAGCCCUCUCUCCACUACUGCCAUUACCGAUGGCCUUACCAACAUUACCCACCAAAGUAGAACAAACAUCUGGUGACGUUGGGAGAAUCAGAAACCCAAUUACUGCGUUCAUAAACUCAAAUUGGACUCCUCUUGAUGGUAUUGCCGUCUCUUUAUCUUCUGGUUCUUUUGAGGAAAAGAAUCCCCCAAAAGAAGACGUGGAUGCUUAUGUACAAAGGGGCCUCUAUGUUAUCCAUUCAAGGAAAAGAUUACAGGUGUUUCUGGUAUUCUGUCAGGAGUAGAUGCUUUUACUUAACAAUCUGCAAUAUAUAACUUGGCUUUGGUUGCAGAACUAAGGUAAUGUUAGAAGUGGAGACAAAUUUUAAUUUUUCUUCUUAGAGAUAAGGUUGAAAACGAUAGGGGUAGAAGCAAAGUUGAAUUUUACCUCUUUGAAGGAUAAGUUGUAGUUAUCAAAUCUUUGCCACCAAGAAGAAAAUUCAAGCAAGUAAAUCUACCAAGUCAAGCAAGGAAAGAAAGCCUAUUGGUUGAUCAAAUUCAUCUUUGAUUUUUCAACUUCUAGAGAAGGAAUUUAAGUUGUAUUUGUCAAAUGAUAAACUGCCUUAUAAAAUCUAUAAAUAGACCUUAGAAUGUGUUCAUUAUAUAUGUAUGUAUAUUCUAAUGAGUGUUUGCCAAAAAUAAUUUAGCACUAAGUGAGGUUUUAUGAUAGAUAGAGUUUGCUCUUUUGAGAGAGAUAGAGAGUUUGAAAAUUUUUGUAACUCCUAUUUAAAACUCAUCUUGUAAUCAUCUAUUCUUAUUUCUUAGUAGAGCCGCGUUAUCCCUUAGUGAAAUCUAUAUCCAAGUUUUUUUGCUAUUUUCAUUAUCCUGUGCAAAUUCUUACCUAACAAUUGGUAUCAGAGCCAGGUUAUAGCAAAAUUGGUGGAGCCUGUGAACCUAUAAACAAUAGUUGUGUUCAACAAUAACUGAGUUGCUACAAUAUUAAUGAUAGCAGAAGACAGAAAAGUUAAGAUCACACCUCAGGUUUUGUGAGUGGUGGAGGUAGUUUGUUCAGAUUUACUUCACUUGCCUUUUUCAUUUUGAUUUAUGGAUGCUGUUAGUUUCUCCUGCUACCUGGCCCAUCAUUCCUACAGAAUAAAAUUUACAUCAUGAUGAAUUUGAAUACGAAUAAAAAGUUUCCCUCUUGGAACGGUGAGCUGAGAAAGAAUGGCAAUAUUGGGGAUACCGCUUUACUCUUGGAUUGUUUUGGCUAUGGGGGACGUGAUACAGCUGCAUUAGGGAGCAGUCAAACGAAAGAUGGAGGACAGAGUAUCUGUACAAAUGCUUCUGAUGAUGGGUGCAAAUUAGUGCUUGGAUUGGGUCCAACACCUGGUACUUAUUCUGAUGAUUAUUGUGCUGUUCGGGGUAAUAAAAACAAAGGCUCGACAACCAUAUUUACUCAGAGGUUGGCAUCUGACUAUGAUUCGAUUCUGAAACUAGGACUGUCUGGAGACACAGAUGAUGAUUCGAAUAUACUCGAAUUUUCUGCUUCUACACAGAAUGCUUCUGAUGCACUUCACCAGCCGGAUCGAAUGUUUUCAGAUUGUCAUAGGCUUGCAACCCCUGUUGUUGAUGAGGGUUCUACGUCUGCCAAGAAAUCCGGUGGCUAUAUGCCGACGCUACUUUUGGCGCCUAGAAUGGAAAGUAACAAAAUUUCGUUGAGGACUGAUGAGGUUUCAAAUUUUGGUGCAAAAUCCCAUUGCUAUGUUUCCGAGCUCAAUGCUGAACCUUCUAGCGUCUCUAAUUAUUCAACGAGCACCACAUCUGAACCAACGCUACCCGGGGCAUCUUCAGACCUCAGAACUAUCAACCUGAAAAGAUGCAAGUUUGCUGGAUGUACAAAAGGAGCGCGAGGGGGAACGGGUCUUUGUAUUGGCCAUGGGGGCGGACACAGAUGCCAGAAACCUGGAUGCAAUAGAGGUGCUGAGAGCCGAACUGCCUAUUGUAAAGCCCAUGGAGGAGGCAGGAGGUGUGAGCAUCUUGGAUGCACGAAAAGUGCUGAAGGGAAGACGGACCACUGUAUAGCACAUGGUGGUGGAAGAAGAUGUGGGUAUCCAGGAGGGUGCACUAGAGCUGCCCGUGGAAAGUCGGGUCUUUGCAUCAGGCAUGGUGGGGGUAAGAGGUGUAAGGUGGAAGGUUGCAGUCGAAGUGCUGAGGGACAGAUUGGCUUAUGCAUCUCCCAUGGUGGUGGACGACGAUGCCAAUUCCUGGGUUGUACCAAGGGCGCGCAAGGUAGCACCAUGUUCUGCAAAGCACACGGUGGUGGAAAACGGUGCAUAUUUGCAGGGUGCACCAAAGGUGCCGAGGGGAGUACGCCUCUCUGCAAAGGGCAUGGUGGUGGAAAACGCUGCCUCUUUGAUGGUGGUGGGAUAUGCCCAAAAAGUGUGCACGGAGGUACCGAUUUCUGUGUUGCUCAUGGCGGUGGAAAAAGGUGUGUUGUUCCAGGCUGUAGCAAGAGUGCUCGCGGCCGAACUGAUUCCUGUGUCAGGCACGGAGGAGGAAAGCGCUGCAAAUUUGAAAGCUGUGGAAAGAGCGCUCAAGGUAGCACCGACUUCUGCAAGGCACAUGGUGGUGGAAAGAGGUGCAACUGGGGCGGUGGAAAAUGUGAAAAGUUUGCAAGAGGAAAGAGUGGGCUAUGUGCUGCACAUAGCAGCCUGGUUCGAGGACGUGCGAUGAACGAAGGAGGAAUGCUUGGGCCUCGACUCUUCCACGGAUUGGUGCCAGCUGCUUCUACUGCUAGGAGCAGCUUCGACAACACUUGUUCUUCAUCCGGAGUUAGUGUGAUCUCGGAUUCUCCCGAUUCACUUGAACAACCAGCA
This 13781-nucleotide long non-coding RNA is filed under the name Olea europaea (common olive). RNAcentral's name for it is "long non-coding RNA (OEUR_LNC001872)". The record is from RNAcentral. Lineage: Eukaryota; Viridiplantae; Streptophyta; Magnoliopsida; Lamiales; Oleaceae.